UCUGCAUCAACAACUUCUGGAAGCAGAGAGUCCCUGAACCUUGGAGCAAGGAGAGAUGUAACAUACAGCCUCGGAGGGGUUGGAGGAGAGGUCCUUGGAGAUCACCUGGCUCAGCCUUCUCGUUUUCCAGAUGAUUUUUUUUAGUCCAAAGAGACUAAAUGACUUGACUAAGGCCACACAGCAUGUCAGCGGGCCAGCUAGGACUCCACCCACAGCCCCUGAGUCUGGGGAUCCCUGUGCUCUUGGCUCUGAGCAAGGCUGCCUCACUUCAUUUUAGUUUAGUCUGUGUGACUUGAGCACAAGUUCUGCACACAAAACUGUGCAAGGCCACUAAUAGCACUCACAGAGCAGUGCUAUCCCUUCCUUCCUUUGAAAUGGUGGAGGUGGAGACAGUACAUACAAGAGUUACUCAAGACAAGGAUGAGGGUGCAGGGAGGAAGCCGAGCCCUUCCAUGCCACCUCUGAGACAG
This 470-nucleotide small RNA is filed under the name Pan troglodytes (chimpanzee). RNAcentral's name for it is "sense intronic". The record is from RNAcentral. Lineage: Eukaryota; Metazoa; Chordata; Mammalia; Primates; Hominidae.